Molecule: long non-coding RNA, 1945 nt
Organism: Anguilla rostrata (American eel)
Lineage: Eukaryota; Metazoa; Chordata; Actinopteri; Anguilliformes; Anguillidae
Exons: 5
Source: RefSeq, a predicted model, not a curated record
GAGUGGAAAUGCUUAUGAAAGCCUAACGAUUAUAUUUAAAGACAGAGCUUUAUCAAGGCUUUCAUCAUGCAUUAUAUUCUGUGGCUCGAAAUGUCAAUAGCACGAAAUUUACCUCAGAGUUUAAAAGGUUCACGGUUCCAGUGUGGGAGAGGAGGAGAUUUUCCUCAAAAAGUGCAUGGGAUGAAUGAUGGUCAAAAGCUGCCCCCUUGACCAAAUCCAUUUCUUCUGCUGGUUAUCCAUCAAUCAGCAGUUCACCUACCCCAUGCCACACAAACUCUUCAUCUCUGCCCUCGUGCACCACUCCUCCACAGCACCAUUCCCUUUCACCUUCCCUCUCUCCAAUCCCAAAUGUGACCAAAGAUAACACAGAAGAGGGCCAGCUGGACUCCUUGGUUGUGGUUGUGGAUUUCAAACAACUUAGACCCAGUAUCCCUAACAUUGGAAAUACCUGCUCCAUGAAUGCAAUACGUUGCAGUGCCUCUUUGACCUUAAGUCUUUUUGCAAUGACAUCAUAAAGCAGGAGCAGAGCUGGAUAUUCCCUAAGCUGCUCAAGUGCUUUACUGACUUGCAUUCAUAUAGGGUAACGGCUCACAGGAGUUUUGUGGUGACAAAGGAAUUCUGAGGAGGAAUUCUGGGGAGAUAGCCAGUGGCUGAGAGAGAAGGCUCUAGUACACAUAAACACUGCCACUCUAGUCUUCACAUUCACAUUGUGUGGACCAAGCACAGCCCGUGUCUCACAAUUCCUCCAUUCCUAUCUCUGCGCACUGUGUUCUGUCCCCUCUGGCACCUGUUUCUCCAUGUAGGAUACCCAAUCAAACAGGGAUGUACUUCCCUCUGUGGUUCUCUAUUUCUCUGUCUCCAAAAGCCAUGUUAGAGGUGGUUAGGGAUGAAAGAUACAACCACCUCUCAGUGGAUUUGGUCCAAAAGGAUAGCCUGGACCUCUAUUUCACGGCUAGAUCCAGUCAUACACCAGCAAUACUCACUCUUCUGUUUUAUCUUCUGAUGACACUAAUAUUUAAGUACUACCCAUAAUACAGUAGAACAGUAAUUCUGACUCUGGAACAUACUUCCUGUAAUACUAACCCAUAUACAAGCACUGACCUUAGUAAAUACUGAGUGAUACUGACUGCCAUAUUGACCCUAGUGCAGAGUGCCUACCGUCUUACUAUGUGACCGAAAUUGACAUGAACACUGAUCCAGGUUCAGAAUAAAUGUGAUCUGCAUCAGAUCCUUGAGUUGAUUUGCUGCUGUGCUGUUACAUUCUUGACAACAGAGCUGAAAAGUGCAUGCAGGAAGUGUUUUGGAAAACAGGCUUCUCUAUCCUUGAUGUUCAACUAAUCUUCUUGGUAAAGUAUUGCCUAAUUACGUCACUCAUUAUACUGUAAAGCAGGGAUUUCCAUCUCUACAGGAGAGCUAUAUGCUGUAUGUUCUUUGUUGCAGAUAAUUAUUGAUCAAUUAAAGCAGUGGAUAUGUUAGCUCAGCUCACCUGGUUUCUUGGGUCUACACAGGUUUUUGAUAUUAAGAUGAAACCGUGUCUGUGACUGUCCUGGUCAUUGGUUGGCUGGAACAGUCAUGGCUGGUUAUGAUUACAGCUCAAAGGAAAGGACCUGAGCAUGUUUUGCUGUUGGAGGUACAUAUGAAAUAUCUCCCUGUCGCUCUGUGCAGAGUCCUCAUUCGCCAGCUGAAACAUUUUUAGGUGGAUGCUCUUGGGAACAUGAAGAAACUGACGAACAGGAUUCCCAUUCCUGUGGAAAUGAAUGUGAACCACCACUGCAGGGAUGGUGUGCAAUCACUUCUCGAACUGGACAAUAGAGAAUGCAUCAGGAGCACAGCCCAGAGGAUCAGCGGCCUUUGCAAUGCAGUCUAGCCUCCCUUUGGCAUUUUGGAGGAUGGAAAAAGAUUGCAUAUGUCAAUGUCAAUAUAUCAACUAUAAACAUAUAUUAUA